ACCAGAUGCCAUCCUCAUCCAUAUUCUCUCCUUAUUGCCAACAAUCGAUUCUCUGAACACAAUCUUGAUUCGACGAUUUAAUCACCUCUGGCCAUUCAUCCACACACUCACUUUUGAUCAAUGCAUGUUUCCGGGGCAUAACUAUGUCUAUUAUAGUCAAGCUAAUCGUCCUGACUAUGACGAAAGGUUCUUGAACUUUAUUCGUCAUGUGAUUCUUCUUAAUAAGAGCCCAACUCUUUAUAAGUUCUGCCUUGAUUUUCAUUUUAGUAUAUCUCAUUCAAUUCGACAGAGAGUAUCCAACAGAUGGCAGUAUGACUGUUUGAGGAGUGAGAAAAGAAUGGCUAAUGAAAUUGGUACUUGGAUCCAGUUCGCAUUAAAUAAGAAUUUGAAGGUCCUUGACUUGUCCAUCUCUGCACAUGGUACAUUUGAGCCCUGGGCUUAUUAUGAUCUGCCUAAUUUUAUUCUAAGCAGUCCUCAUUUGGUUGAACUCCGAUUGGCAUACUGUAAGAUCAAUGCAAAAAAGAAGAGCGAGUUGAAGGCUCUAACAACAUUUUCUCUUGAUAAUGUUAUGCUAAUGGAUCAAUCGAUGGAUUAUAUUCUAUCUGGUUGCCCGGUGCUUGAGGAAUUGACUCUGUGGUUUUGCUACGGCCAUAGAAGACUGGUUCUGCUCAAUUCGAAUUUAAAGACAUUGGUACUUGGCAUUAGAUGGUUUGGAACAAGGAUACACGUCUCAUGUCCAACUCUCCUAUCAUUAGACAUGUCUGAAACUGUGGAGGUACUGGAUAUUAUCAAUGUAGCAUCUAUUGUUGAAGUGUCUGUCAAUCGUAUGGAGAAGUUUGAUUUCAAAGAGUACAAGGAUUAUCAAGAAAUGAGAAUACUCCUCCAAAUAAUUACUGGGGCCAAAACUCUCAAGCUAUGUUCCUGGUUUGCUCUGGUAUGUGGCUUUUUCUCUUUCUCCACAACUUCUCCAGGUAUAUUUGAGAUUUCUGACUCUAUGGAGAAAUAGCCUUUUAGGUGGACAUACUAACUAUAAACUCUUCUAUUCAAGAUAUGGAAUAUCAAUAAAUUUAUGGACCGGAGGGGUUAUGGUUUUGGACUUUGAGCCCGUUUGGAUGGGCUUUUUUUAAGUGACUUGUAAGGAUAAACCAAUAAGUUAGUAAUUCUAGCUUUUGACUUUUGGCUUGUUUUUAUCAUUUUAACUUAAAAACAAGUGCUUAAAAGCACUUUUUUUACUUUAUCCAAACAUUACAAAAUGACUUUAAAGUUAUUCUGCCUUAAAAGCACUUGAAAUAAGCCAAUCCAAACGGGCUCUUUGUCUUUAACGUCUUAGGUUUAGGCAUCCAUCAACAUUUCAUUUACAUUGUGCAAUCAGUUUUUUAAUGCUUUUGUCACUUACCUUGUGGCUGUCAGCACAAGUCCUUGUUGAUUAAAUCGUCAUCUUUAGUUUGUGCUUCUCUGUUUUUCUUAAGAAAUUUCAUUUUAAUUUAUCGAAAAAGAAAGAAAGUUUUAUUUCAAUAUCAUCAGAUUACAAAUACACCCUUCUCAUGUUGUUUUCCAUAAACUCAGAAAUGGUAGAUAAGUCAAUAUCCUAAGUCCUACAGCAAAAGGCAUAUUCUUUCAUGUAGGGUCUUAUGGAGGCUAGACAAUAAAAACUAAAGUAUAUUGAAGCUGUCAUAUGACUGUAGGCUACUUCCUCUAAGCAAUUUAGAUGUCUGCAUUUUCAUGGUUCAGUUUAGCAAGCAUUUAUAUCAAAUUUGGUGGAUGCAGCAUUCUUUGCUACUGUAAGCAUCCGUUUGAUUGCAUUCUUUAUCAUGUCAAUACAUAAGGAAGAAACCUCCUUGUUUUCUUGAUCACUUAGAAGCAUUGUUCAUAGUGCAUAGGACCAUUUCCUUUUAAACAUAGUCUUUUUCGCCAACACAAGAAUUUACUUAUGUGCUGAAGCACACACCAAAUUUGUGCAUCGCAUUGAAUGUGUUUAAGCGUCAAAUGUGUUUAAUCUUAAUUUGAACUUACAGAAAAUAUAUUUUUCAUGGUGUAGAGAUGCAUUGUUCAAAUAAAUAGAUGGAGAAUACUCAUGUUUCACAUAGAAACAAAGAAUGUUGACCAAGGGCUUGAAUAUUCUUAUGCAAAAAUCUAUUUAUUUAGUUUCUUUAACUUUUGUGUUUUAUUUUUUGUCUGCCUAGGUAUUUUCUUCAUGGUAGUUGACAAAUCUACCAGCUCCGACCUUCAGUUGCAAGACGCUUCACCUUCAAUUGGAUUUUGUGAAAUGGCACUUACCAGGAAUACUGAACUUGCUGAAGCACUGUCCUUGCUUGGAAAAUCUUAUCAUCGAAAUAACUACUUACUAUGAUUAUCCAUCCCGAGUAAGACAAAAUUUAUUUGUUUUAUUGCUCUUGCUGUUAACUGUGUUCUUUGCAAUGGUAAUACAUGUUGGUGUUAGACACUGGUAGGACACUAACCCGAGUUGGCAUGAUUGGGAUACUAACUUUGGCAGUUUCCUUUUUUUUUUUAUAUAAAAGAAUAUCAUUUUCAUAUUUCAUAUAAAUGACCCUACUGUGAAAUGUGAGUGUCUCUGUACUAUAUGCAAAUAGGACUUUUUUCCCUAAUCUCCUUUUUACUCGUUAUUUGGGGAGUCAUGAGAAACCAUCAAGUAGAAAACAUAAGACAUCAUGUUUCUUCAGGGUGGAAACUUAAAUUUUUAAACAUGUAUGAUUUUCGAUGUUUGUUUCACAGUAACUGUAGAUGUAUUUUCAUAAUGUGUUACCCUAAGAUUUUGCAGUUCCGAGUCCUUGUUAGUAUCCAUUAUACAUAGUUCGGGACAAUUCUUAACUGGAUAUUUCCUCUUGUGCUUAUUUUAGAACGCAACUUCGUGGAUUCACUCAUAUGACUUUGAUGGAGAUGAAUUUUGGAAUAUAGUAGUUACUCCUGUCCAGUGCUUGACUCAUCACCUCAAGACGGUGGAGGUAGCUGGUUUCGUAAUGGAGAAGCAUGUGAUUCAUUUUGUGGAAUAUUUGCUCAGGAGUUCCAUGGUGUUAGAGGAAAUGGUGAUAUUCGCGGAGAAGCAGACGUGGAUCUAUGGCCCAAUUACUCUUAUGUCUUAUAAGGUUCAGGAACUCGAGGAGAGGCUAAUGAAUGCACCAAAAGCCUCUGCUGCAGUGGUUUUCUAUUGAUGGUGAACCCUUCAGAAUGAUUUGCCUAGAUAGUGUAAAAAUUAUUACACUAUCGGUGUAUUUAAGUUAAAACUCUAUGAUAAUAAUGUGCAUAAUGAAUUGUGCCGGGGACUGUUUCCUGCAUUUUCUGUAAUAAACUGUUGAAGGGCUUUCCUAUUGGAGAUGGGUAUCCAAGUUCGUGGCCGAAGAUUGGUUACUAAGGAUUAGUCAGAAAAACAAGAGCAGAUAAUAAUUGCUUUGAAGACUUGCAACGCACGCUGAUGCUGCCUUCGAAAUCUGGAGUUUUUUUCCCUCUCUACUACAUCGUUCUUCUGUUCCGAGGAAGCUGAAGUAUUUGCUUCAGGAAAGUUGAUCUGGGGCUUUUUUCUCUCCAGGGUUGAAGUGCUUCAUUAUGAAAGCACUUGCAGGUUCAUUCUCUCUUGUCAUUGUUGUUGCACAUAAUGGUCUUCAAAUGUCGUAUAGUGUAUCCUCAUCGGUAUAUGUUCCCUCAUUGUAUCGGGAUCAAUUUGCCUCGUAUAGAAGGUUAUGCAUUCAGUUUUGGAUCUUCGGCAGAUGUAUGUCCUUAAUGAAAUUACUUAGAAACUUUUUGAUCCAAACUAUGAAUGGUAAUUACUUAAAAAGUUUCCCAAUCUCUUUGAUCCCAUGUUUUAUCAUCAUGAAUUGUUAUCUCUAAAUGGAAAUUUAAUAUGCUGAGAUUAUCGCUCGAGGAUUUCUCAGCCUGAUUAACUAGAGGGAGGAAAGUUCUUGUUCUGUGCCUCUUGGUUUCUAGGAAUAACAUAUGCUCAGUCAUUUCAUAGCUUGCAAUUUAUCGCACCUAAAAAUGUGCUAUGUUGUUUUACAGAAGGAAUAUGUCUGCAAGGCAAAGAAGCUGUAACUUUAACGAAGACCGUAUAAGUGGACUGCCAGAUGCCAUCCUCAUCCAUAUUCUCUCCUUAUUGCCAACAAUCGAUUCUCUGAACACAAUCUUGAUUCGAUGAUUUAAUCACCUCUGGCCAUUCAUCCACACACUCACUUUUGAUCAAUGCAUGUUUCCGGGGCACAACUGCGUCUAUUAUAGUCAAGCUAAUCGUCCUGACUAUGACGAAAGGUUCUUGAACUUUGUUCGUCAUGUGCUUCUUCUUAAUAAGAGCCCAACUCUUUAUAAGUUAUGCCUUGAUUUUUAUUUUAGCUUAUCUCAUUCAGUUCGACAGAGAGUAUCCAGUAGAACAGACAGAUGGCAGUAUGACUGUUUGAGGAGUGAGAAAAGAAUGGCUAAUGAAAUUGGUACCUGGAUCCAGUUCGCAUUAAAUAAGAAUUUGAAGGUCCUUGACUUGUCUUUCUCUGCACAUGGUACAUUUGAGCCCCAGGCUUAUUAUGAUCUGCCUAAUUUUGUUCUAAGCAGUCCUCAUUUGGUUGAACUCCGAUUGGCAUACUGUAAGAUAAAUGCGAAAAAGAAG
RNAcentral lists this long non-coding RNA (4606 nucleotides) under Nicotiana tabacum (common tobacco). Its description in RNAcentral is "long non-coding RNA (NTAB_LNC000422)". Lineage: Eukaryota; Viridiplantae; Streptophyta; Magnoliopsida; Solanales; Solanaceae. The record is from RNAcentral.